RNAcentral lists this unclassified non-coding RNA (391 nucleotides) under Hevea brasiliensis (rubber tree). Lineage: Eukaryota; Viridiplantae; Streptophyta; Magnoliopsida; Malpighiales; Euphorbiaceae. The record is from RNAcentral.
UAUGAAAAGUUGGGGAUUGAAUGAUAAUUUUUGGAAUUAUUACAGUGGAUUUGGAGAUCUAAAACAUCUAAAUUUAUUGUUGGGGUUGAGAAUUUGCUAUCUAUGGAGGAAUGCUAGCCAUCAUCUUUAAUAACAGUCACUUUUAACUUUUAUUAUAUUAUUUAGUGAUAAAUAGGAGAGAAAAAUAAAAGAAAAUCGUAAAAAAUAAAUGGUGUAGACCAAUAAUAUGAUAAGUGUUGAAACUGACUGUUAUUGAAAAUGGUGGCCACUCUCUGCUGGUGUGAUUUGUUGAUUGAGCUUAUUGCAUGAUGAGAUUUUGCAAGGAUACUGUGUUCUGCAAGGUGAAGGUGAUCUGCAGAGGGAAUGAGAGUGGGAAAGGGAGAGACAAGAG